GACUCGAGCGUCAGCGAGAGAACGUUGCCGCAGGCAACGGCCCGAAGGGCGAGGCGCUUUAGCGCCGAGUAAUCCUUCCCCCACCACCA
Molecule: small RNA, 89 nt
Filed under: Klebsiella aerogenes
Lineage: Bacteria; Pseudomonadati; Pseudomonadota; Gammaproteobacteria; Enterobacterales; Enterobacteriaceae
Description: partial RtT sRNA
Rfam family: RtT RNA
About the family: This family represents a bacterial cis-regulatory element known as RtT RNA. The exact function of RtT is unknown although it is thought that it may be involved in changing the cellular response in relation to amino acid starvation.
Source: RNAcentral